This 484-nucleotide ribosomal RNA is filed under the name uncultured bacterium. Its description in RNAcentral is "partial 16S ribosomal RNA". It matches the Rfam family "Bacterial small subunit ribosomal RNA", at positions 30 to 507 of the family's 1533-position model. The record is from RNAcentral.
AUUGAACGCUGGCGGCAGGCCUAACACAUGCAAGUCGAGCGGAUGAAGGGAGCUUGCUCCUGGAUUCAGCGGCGGACGGGUGAGUAAUGCCUAGGAAUCUGCCUGGUAGUGGGGGAUAACGUCCGGAAACGGGCGCUAAUACCGCAUACGUCCUGAGGGAGAAAGUGGGGGAUCUUCGGACCUCACGCUAUCAGAUGAGCCUAGGUCGGAUUAGCUAGUUGGGGGGGUAAAGGCCUACCAAGGCGCCGACCCGUCACGGGUCUGAGAGGAUGAUCAGUCACACUGGGACUGAGGCACGGUCCAGACUCCUACGGGAGGCAGCAGUGGGGAAUAUUGGACAAUGGGCGAAAGCCUGAUCCAGCCAUGCCGCGUGUGUGAAGAAGGUCUUCGGAUUGUAAAGCACUUUAAGUUGGGAGGAAGGGCAGUAAGUUAAUACCUUGCUGUUUUGACGUUACCAACAGAAUAAGCACCGGCUAACUUCGUG